Long non-coding RNA from Paramacrobiotus metropolitanus, 1327 nucleotides. RefSeq lists it as uncharacterized. The transcript has 2 exons. The record is from RefSeq and is a predicted model, not a curated record. Lineage: Eukaryota; Metazoa; Tardigrada; Eutardigrada; Parachela; Macrobiotidae.
UUGUGGAAUAUAAGUACAUCGCUGUACUAAUUAAACACACUGCAGCAAAUAUUGUGAAGUGGGGGAAACGCUGAUAAUUUAGAGACUAACUCAGACUGUAAACAGCCGACCAGUUUUCGAGGCGCGAUAUUUUUCCUGUAUUACUAAGUUCUACCACUAACGUAACGUAAUAUGCCGCACCGAUCGGGCAUUGUACUAGCCAUCUUUGUACUACUAAAACACUCAUGCUUCACGACCAGUCAGGUCUUUUAUCCUUACCCCCAAUUCGCAGGUCCGAUCUUUUCGUAUCCGCCGCCCGGGGCGUACCAGCGUUAUCCCGGCGCAUUCCCCUCGUAUUCGGAACCGUCACACACGGAGGAAGGACGUAGAGAUAAGAGCUAUGCUCCUAAGAAUCCCUUUUUCAUUCCCCAUCCACAACGGGGAAAUGGCGGACCCGGAUCAAAUGCAGAGAACGAGGAGACCUGCCCGGUAUUUGCACCUCCACAUCAGGAACCCAGCGACCAAACCGAUUCGGGAUUCGGUGAUCAAGAACAGUGCUCCCGCCCAACGUCAUCUUUUCCACACGGUGCAAGUUUCCCCGGACAUCCGUUUCCGCACUACCCAUUCCCUGUCCCGCCGAUGUUCCCGUACAUGUUCGCGUUUCCACCGCCGCAAUCUUUUUCCGGGAAGAUCGCUCGGCGCGAACAAUUCGUGUAUCCACCGAAAAAAACCACACAGCCGAAAGAUGCAGCGAAAACGCUUCCCACGAAAUUCCAGAGGAUCCGAAAACGGUGGACGAAGAAGAGGAGAAUUUAGUUGACGAAUUCUCUGCGUUUUCUCAGUUCUUCGACGCGAUGUUCCCUGAGUUCCCCCAGGGCGGACCUACUGCAGGAGGGAAGCUGGGGAAAGCUGGCAGUGCUCAUGCGAGAAGGAAAAAUCGGAAUGGUGGAAGAAUCACGCGAAAAAAUGGGAAGGUUUCGAAUAAUACGCAUUCGGGUGAAUUAAACGAGAUGUUGGACACCAUUCAACAACAGUUAGAAGCCCUUUUCGACUACAAAGAAAUGGGAACCAAGUUCGGGAUACAUCUGCACCAGGCACUAUCGUCUGUUUCCGCGCUGCAGGAGGACAUUUGUGGCUAGCCAUAAGAAAAACCUAGUCUUAUUUUUGAUUCUUUUAAAUUUUAUCCGUGUUGAUAGUUGAUACUUUCUUUAAGUGAAUCAUCGUCAUCGGUGGCUUUUCUUUUUGCUGCUUAAAUCAACGAAUUGCUGAGACGUGUCCGUAAAUCGCUUACAUUUCUCCGGUGGUGGCUUUCAGCCCGGUGGUGUCAUUAAAAAUGGGAUAUCCAGUA